UACGUAGGGGGCAAGCGUUGUCCGGAUUUAUUGGGCGUAAAGAGCGUGUAGGCGGCUUUACAGGUCCGUUGUGAAAACUCGAGGCUCAACCUCGAGACGCCGGUGGAAACCGUAAAGCUAGAGUCCGGAAGAGGAGAGUGGAAUUCCUGGUGUAGCGGUGAAAUGCGCAGAUAUCAGGAAGAACACCCGUGGCGAAGGCGGCUCUCCGGGACGGUACUGACGCUGAGACGCGAAAGCGUGGGGAGCGAACAGG
This 253-nucleotide ribosomal RNA is filed under the name uncultured bacterium. RNAcentral's name for it is "partial 16S ribosomal RNA". It matches the Rfam family "Bacterial small subunit ribosomal RNA", at positions 524 to 776 of the family's 1533-position model. The record is from RNAcentral.